UGAAACUAGAUAUUUAAGGCAACGGAGAAAGCAAUUCACGUUGACUCUCAGCGGGCGCGCGAGCAGAGAAACGUGUUCUGUAUCUGUCUAUAGUAAUCUGAGAGUGUUCUGCUGUGUAAAACGCUUCUUAUAACGUGACCGGGGAGAGAAAAGGGGACGGAUUGAGCGCUCGACGCACGCGGGGGCGUUUUUUUUAGGAGGACGGUGGAUGUCCGCUAGCGCGCACCCAAGAGCUCGUCACCUUUGAGAAGAGCGCGUGGACCGAGCUCUCCACCGCUGAACUCCAGCUGCAGAUCUAAAAUCAUGAGGGGGAUGAAGUGUGCUGUCAGCAUGCUGGAAACGCUAAACCGAAUUGUAGGAGGGAGAAACCUGAUAAUGCAGCAGAAGUGGAGGAGAUGAAGGUGACCUGUGGCUGGGCCAGGGGCUGCAACACAGGACAUGGGAGCCGCUUCUCACUCCCGCUCGUGUCUUGUGUUGCAGCCAGUGGAACGGCUACGCUGUCCGCAUCAGAGACAACCGUCGCUUGGAGAACGUUCAGCAGGACCCACUGGUGGCAUUAUGCUCAUCUCAUCUGCUGCUUCCAGGACAACAAACUGAUGAUUAGUAAGAUUCUCAAUAAAGACUUUUGAAAUGUAUCUGUAAUCUUCGGAAGUUAAUGCGAGUUAAUAUAACCACCAUACUAUCAGCAUCGGCUGAUAUCAAUCUGGAUAAUCGGCUAUCUGUAUCGGUGGAGAAACGUAGUAUCAUGUGUCUUUAAAAUGUACAGUAUAUGUUAAGUAUAAAGUCAAAGCAUAAAUAAGAUUAUAAUGAAAAUAGUAAUUUGGGGUAAUUGUUUAUUGGUAUUUAUUAUAAUAUAAAAUUAUUAUUUACAUUUAUUAUUAUUAUUAUUAUUAUUAUUGAAAAACAAAUAUAUGGUCAAGCUAUUUAAAUGAUAGGAAUAUGGUGGAGGACUUUUUUAAAAUAACCAAAUGACAAACAUGCCAUUUUGUUGUCAUGUGACAUAAAAAUACAAUAAAACAUUGACCCAAUAACAAGAUACAAAUACACAUUGAAAGAGCAUUUUGAUAAUCUUUAUUACACUUUAGUAAAAAUUCUGGAUUAUUUUUAACCCAGCCUUAGGCCAAAAAUAAUUAACCCAACUGUUUAGUUGUAAAUUAACCUAAGAUUGGUUGUUCAAGCCAUUAUUGGUUUUAAUAUAAACCAUUUUCUGGGUUGAUUUAAUGAUUUAUUUUUGUCCCUUUUUGACCCAACGCUGGGUUGAAAAUAAACACAGUAACAGAGAUUAUGUCAACACUAACACACCUAUGCUUAGAAAUUGAACAUGUGCACACUUCAGUUAGACUCCAUUGCAUUUAUUUGUAUAGCACGGCACAUUUUCUUCAAAGCAGCUUUACAGAAAAUAGAGAAGUUUCUGGUGCCUUGUGUCUCCCUCAAGGUUAUGUAUGAAUAACACGGGUAAAGAACAAGCUUGCAUUCGCUUUACACACAAAUAUAUUCACACUCACACGGCCUCAGAUGAGACAUUCACUGCCAGGUGUAAAUAUUCGGAUCAUGUUGCUGCGCUGCAAAACUGAGACGCGCCUGAGCUGAAGAAAGGCAAGUUGUGCCGGCCAUUUAAAGGGCUAAAAUGAAGUUGUUUUCUCUCAGCUUUAUUGAAAUUUAAAUUUAAGAAUAGCUUGGAGACACAAAUUGUUUGUGAGGAUCUGAAUCCAACAUGACAGGAGUGGCUUUUCUGUAGAAAAGUUUUUUUUUAAUAUAAAGGUUCAAUGUGUAAUUUUUUUUAGAUAAUCCAUUGACAGAAAUGCGGUAUAAUAUACAUAAUUAUGUGUUCAGAGGUGUAUAAAGACUUUACAUAAUGAAGCGCUAUGUUUUUAUUACCUUAGAAUGAGCUAUUCCUAUCUACAUACACCGCGGGUCCCCUUACAUGGAAUUUGUCAUGUUGUGUCUACAGUAGCCCUAAACGAACAAACUGCUCGACAGAGCGCGUUUCGUAAAUACGUUAUCUCCUUCGGCAAAGAAGCAAAAAUGUGACGACAUCUUAGUCCUGUGUCAGCCACCGUAGUGCAUCGAAAGAGAAGGGUGGAGUGAGCCGUUGGUUGCAAUUCACAACCUCACCGCUAGAUGCCGCUUAAUUCCAUACACUGGACCUAAAUCAAUAAAUAUCAAAUUAUUAAGUUAACUUGUUUAUUAUUAAGUUAACUAAGUUGAUCAAGACUAGAUCAUUACACAAACGUAUUCGACCACAAAAUGCAGUAACUGAAAAUCUUGUAUCCCAGACGGCCAUGUAAUAAUUAUACUUAAAUAUGUACAUAAACAAGCCUGUUCUUCUAAAAACUGCAUUUUUAUUGUCUGCAUCAGGCAAACGACAACAACAUCAGAUAUUUAGCACAAGACAAGCCAUAAAAGCCACAUGUGACAAGAAGCCAUCUGCAUUUCAAAGAUUUUUCUGCUCAGUGUGAACCGUAACCAGUCCUUUCCACACCUGAAUGUUGACAGCAUGUUGAGUCAGAAUGCUUUAUUGUGACAGGCUGUGUAACUAAUGGGUACAUCGGUUGGUUUUGUCAUCGCUGGUCUCUUAAUUACCUUUCAGCAUGGAUGUGAAAACUAAGUGCUUUCGCUGCAAGACAGGUCACUGGCUUGUUGCCAUGCCCUUUAGAUUUGUACUUAACCUUUCUGUAGGUGCAUUACAUCAAACUGUGUCCAGGUGCUGGUGUAACUGCAGAGAUGCAGUUUCCUCUCAACAGAUCUAUAAAUCAAGCCCUUCAUCAGCAAUACUCAUUUGUAUUCAUUUACACAUUCAAGGUCAAUUCUAUGUUGAGCUGUGGACAUCAGAAACGUUCAUACGAAAACUCUUUUCACAGUAAAGAAAAAUGGGUUGUCAUGUAUUUAAAAAAAUGACUUCAUGUCUGGUUUCUUCAAGUUGAAAUAUAAUGUCAUAUCAAUGUUAUACCAAAUAAAUAUUCAAAUGUAAAAACAUUAAGCGACCCAUUUUAUGAAAAUCGAAACGGUAAAAGGCUGCUUUUCCAAAAAGUUUCUCAGGGUCAAAAAUCACUCCUUAAGGUAAAAAAUUCAUAUUGUUACUUUUAUAAUGCUUGAAAAUUACAAAAUAAACAGUAUUAUGGGUGUGCCAUUUUGAGUCAAAACUUGAAAUAUAAAUUCUCAGAGAAUGUAUUUAUUACUGUAUUGAAUCAUUUGCUUAUAUUUUACUAAACCCCUGAUGGUGGAGUCCAGACAUCAGAAAAAUAUCAGUCUAAGCAUACGUUUUCUAUUUGAAAAGAGAGAAAUGAAUGCGUUAUGGAUGUGACAAAAAAAUUACACGUUUUUGAUAGACGACAUAAAUUGUAGGAUUUCUGAGGAUUAAAAUGUGCAAACCAGAAGCAAUAAUACCCAACAAAUGAAGAAGGGAUAGCUCUUCACAGACCACAAAAUAGUUUUUUAUUUAAUUUCCAUGUUCCUAUUUAUGAUAAAUAUGGACCGUUAUGGAUGUGUCAGUUCGGUUAUGCAUGUUACACUUUACUUACCUGACUAUGGAAAACAGUUGUUUAUAUCAUAGCAGUCUCUUGUCAAAUGUAAAAUUUUUCUGGUUCAGUUUAAAAGACUAAAGCAUAUGAGAAAAGGUUUCAAAUGUCCUUGAGAAAGUGCAGAGCAUUUUAGUUGUGUGGGUGAGUGGGUUACUGAGCCCCUGUUAAAGAGCAUUCAGCUGUGACAGAAUGCGCAGACUGUGAGUUUUAUUGCUACCACGGCAAGCUGUAGCAGAGUGCUCGAGUCUGCCUUUGAUAACACAGACGUCGCCCUGCAGUCGCCUCGCCGGGGUUUUUGCCUGUGAUGGGAGAAAUAAUGUGGACUGAUUUAACGAAACAACCCACUAUUGCAGUAUUUUUAACACAUAUUUUUCAAUAAAACCUGCUGGUUUAUAAAAAGGACAGACUCUCUCACAGAUAACAACAAAGCUGUUAACGUGGUCACCUAAUAGAAAAAAAUACAAAUAAAAUAAUCUUUAAUCGAUAAUUGUCAAAUUCCCUAUUUACGUGGCAAACACUUCUAUACUUCUAUAUUGAAAACGUCUCAAAAUUGCUUUCCUAUAAUUUUAUUUUGUUUUAUUCCAUAAUGUUUUACUUUUUACUGUCUAGCUAGCAUCUUAUUUUAGCAGUGUCUGAUGUGUCCAUGUGUAUGAAGUUUAGCGGCAUCUAGCAGUGAGGUUGUGAAUGGCAACCGACGGCUCACUCCACCCUCUCCACCGUUGGACCUUUAAGUGACCGAAUAUGUUUCUCAAAAAUGUAGCAAACUAACUUAUCAUCCCAUCUGUUGUAUUAAAACUUGAAAUACUUAACGUGGGAAGACUGCGGUGUGUGGCAAAAACACAGAGAGGUCAAAUGGAGGACAGGAAAACCAGACAAGGUGACCCGAUCCGUGCCAGUCUAUUUCAGAUGGCUGACAAGCUCUGCCUCUCCACUCUCUGUCAUGGUUUAUUCAUUCCUCACCCCGGGGAAGAAAACACCGAUGAGAGCCAUGCCAAAAAAUAAAUAUGCUUAGUGGCAAAAGUUUAAGUAAAUUUAUUUUAGCCAAAGAAAGAAGAUGAUUGAUGAUGUACUGAUAGAUCAGUGGAUUGUGAAAUGAACAUGCUGCUUUCUCCUGGUGCUUAAAAAAGAGCAGGCAGAAACAUGACAGAAAAAUCUUGUUUUAAUUAAAAGGGUUUUAUAAAAGACAUUUUUUUAAUGCACUGUACAAAUGUGCUGACAAGCUUAAAAUAGGCCUAUGUAUGUAUAAUAUCUCAAUUCUCGUACAUUUUUAUUUUAUGGCUAAAUCAAGACAACCUGCAGCACCAUCCAAAGUUACAUCCUCAAAGGGAUAGUUCACCCGAAAAUGAAUAUGUCCUUCCAGACCUGUAUUUUGCAGAACACAAAAGAAUAUAUUUAGAAGAAUGUCGGUAACUAAACAACACUGGCCACCAUUGACUAACAUUGUAUGAACACAAAACACUGAGACAUUUCUCAAAAUAUCUCCUUUUGUCCUCCACAGAAGAAAGAGUCAUAUACAGGUUUUGAACUGGGUGGGAGUGAAGAAAUGAUGACAAAAUUUGACGACAGGAUUUUUAUCCCUUUAAAGUAACAACAAGCAAACAAACUAUUUUUUUGUCUGAAUGUUGUCUCUUGAUGUAAACUCAUAAAAUGUUGCCCGAUUGUUAUUUGUGUGAGGUUUUGGGAUGUUUGUUUGAUGGCCAGCAGCUAACAGCACCUCAGUGUGUAGCGGCGCUGAAGGGUGUCAUUGUACUCGGUUUUGAUAAAUGUGAGGGGGAGUGAGGGAAGGAACAAUUCCAGCAGUGUUAUCAGGAGCGAGCAGUCAAGAGUCUGGGGGUCCCAUCUGCAGGGACGACAUCACAGCUCGCCUUCCUUCACUACUGCACACAGGCUCUUACAACUGAGGAAUGGCGAUUCUUCAAUAUAUGUAUUUAUGAUGUCUGCUGUCUUAUUUGUUGAUAAGGACAAGUGAUGCUAUUAUUUAAUCAUGCAGAUGACAUUCUUUUUACCACUGUUCUUAUUUUGCUGCUUUGAUUAUUCCGUCCAAGUCAUCCAUUUAUUUUUAAUGAAAACAUUUAUUUUUAUUUUUAAUAUAAAAUCGGAUUAUUUCAUUUUAUAUAAUAUACAUAUUUUCUUACUUUUUAUUCCUAUUUUUGAUUUUUCAUUCAAGUAAUUCUAUUAUUUUCUAA
Triplophysa rosa is the source of this 5707-nucleotide long non-coding RNA. RefSeq lists it as uncharacterized. NCBI's taxonomy places the organism in Eukaryota, Metazoa, Chordata, Actinopteri, Cypriniformes, Nemacheilidae. The transcript has 3 exons. The record is from RefSeq and is a predicted model, not a curated record.